UCGAGAGAAGGGAAAUCUCCAUGUAGAAAUCCGACGGAGACGGCGACAAGGUGGGGGAGGCGCCGCCGCCAAUUGUAUCAGGCGUUGAUGUUGUGGUGUUCGACGAGGGGGGAGACGAUCUCCAACAUCGGCGGAGGAGGGCCUCCUGCAACGGGUUUCGGCCGGCGGCGUUUGAAGGAUAUUGUUGACUCCGGCGGCGGCGGUUUACAGAUCUGAAGAAUAAGGAAAAAGAAAAAAGAAAAAAAGAAAAAAAAAAAAAAGAACUGUGAACAGAGAGAAAGAUUGAGAGAAUGAAAGAGAGAGAGAGCGAGAACAGAGAGAAAAAGCGAGAGAAUGAAAGAGAGAGAAAUAAAAUUGUAUUAGGUUAAAAACCUAACACAUAGGGGAAUUUUAGUCUUAUCAUGAGUGGUAAGGGGGGUCUCACUAAUUUAGAUUGGGAUAUGGGUUAUGGGAAAAGUCUUUAAAGUCAAUUGGGUUUAGUUCAAAAUAUUUUCCAAAUAAGGGGUGUAUUGCAUAUUUACCGAAAUAUUAUAUAUAGAUUACUUAUUAAAAAAAGGAAAAAAGAAAAAAGAAAAAAAAAAGAAGUUAGAGGGCAAUUUUGUCAUUUCCUACAACAAAAGGAAGAAAAGUCGCAGAAAUCGCGCGUGAGACACACGAUUUGCGACGAGGGGGUUUUCGCCUUUGACUAAUAAAUACAGGGGGUUAUUUGCUAAUUUUUUUAUGACAAGAGGAAAAUGACGCGCGAUUUGCGACGAGGGGGUUUUCGCCUUUGACUAAUAAAUACAGGGGGUUAUUUGCUAAUUUUUUAUGACAAGGGAAAAAUGCACAGUUGAAAUUUUCACAGGGAUAAUAAAUGCAAUAAGCUCAUAAAAAUUAUCUUGGGUCCAACACUAUCUAUAAGUUGCCUCUUGACACAGAGACAUGUUGAGUUAAAAGUUAAAACCAAGUAUAAAUAAUCUAUAAAUCAACUUAAAAAGGGGAGAAUAAAAGACUUAAAAAUAGUAUUUUUUUUUUCAUGGACACAAGUAAAAGGAUAUAUGGUUUAAUUUCAGAUAUAAAAGGAAGUUUUGAAGUGGUGAAUUUUAUUGAGACAUUGUUGAGCCCUCUCCAAGACAUCUUCUGUAUUGCACCUCCUCCUCUUUAUGAUGCUUUCAUCUCUAUCAACUUUCUUUCUUUUCUUUCUGCUCGAUGACUCUGUUUAUAUAAAUUAUGCUAAAACAAAUUAGAAUAAAACAAAUAAAACAAUAUAUAUAUAUAUAUAUAUAUAUAUAUUAAUUGGGUGAAUAUUAUUAUUAAAGCAGUAUACAAACCUUGGGUGUCAGGUGUAAAUAAAGAGAUUGAAGAAGUGCAGGGGGCUUUGAUGAACACAAAGUUGUGAUAUUGAGAUUCUAAAUCUGAAAUAAAAGAUUUGAGCUCCGUUUUUAGAGAAUGAAACUUGUUUGGGUGCUGGAAUUCCAAUUUCUCCAAUUCUUCCUUUGCUUCUUCUAUCAAACUCAUAUUCCUCGAUGCCACUUGCGCCAUUUCUGAAUCCCCUCUCCCUCUCUCUCUCUCUCUCUCUCUCUCUCUCUC
Molecule: long non-coding RNA, 1569 nt
Filed under: Erythranthe guttata (spotted monkey flower)
Lineage: Eukaryota; Viridiplantae; Streptophyta; Magnoliopsida; Lamiales; Phrymaceae
Description: long non-coding RNA (EGUT_LNC002782)
Source: RNAcentral